AUCUGUUGUUUGGCUGUUUACUCAUUCACUCCAGUGUUCCUUGUUCCAGGCCCUGUUCUGGGUCCUGGGGAUGCGGAGAUGCAAAACAAACAUCUUGCCGGCAUGAAGCUGGUGUCCUGCUAGGGGAGAGACAGUCAACAAACACACAAGUCCGAUAUGAAGUCUGUCAGGCCGACACAGAUCGUUGCAAAUCUCUAGAAAACCAGAUCCGGGACUGGAGAGAAAAAAGAGGAAGACACUGACGUCAGGGAGAGAAGAAAGUGGAAGCCGAGACUUCUCAGGGCUUGUCCUGCAGAGGGCGGGGCGCCGCUCCUCGCCUCAGCGAACCUGCUUUAGGAACCAGCUAAGUGGAGCCUCCAAAGUUCGGAAGGAAUGAAGCCUGAGUGCCUCCGGGGGUUUCUUCCUACCCCCCAACAGUAUACGCCUGGGAGGGGGAGUGGGGACAACCCUUGUUGGAAAUACCCCAGUGCCCUGAGGGAUGAUGGCAACCUCAUCGUUGAUGGAGAACAAACGUCUGCCCCAGGAGUCCUGGGCUAGCUGGGG
RNAcentral lists this long non-coding RNA (543 nucleotides) under Equus caballus (horse). RNAcentral describes it as "lncRNA (ENSECAG00000051276.1)". Lineage: Eukaryota; Metazoa; Chordata; Mammalia; Perissodactyla; Equidae. The record is from RNAcentral.